This 247-nucleotide ribosomal RNA is filed under the name uncultured bacterium. RNAcentral's name for it is "partial 16S ribosomal RNA". It matches the Rfam family "Bacterial small subunit ribosomal RNA", at positions 523 to 769 of the family's 1533-position model. The record is from RNAcentral.
AUACGAAGGGGGCUAGCGUUGCUCGGAAUUACUGGGCGUAAAGGGAGCGUAGGCGGACAUUUAAGUCAGAGGUGAAAUCCCGGAGCUUAACUUCGGAACUGCCUUUGAUACUGGGUGUCUUGAGUGUGAGAGAGGUAUGUGGAACUCCGAGUGUAGAGGUGAAAUUCGUAGAUAUUCGGAAGAACACCAGUGGCGAAGGCGACAUACUGGCUCAUUACUGACGCUGAGGCUCGAAAGCGUGGGGAGC